This 508-nucleotide ribosomal RNA is filed under the name uncultured bacterium. RNAcentral describes it as "bacterial SSU rRNA". It matches the Rfam family "Bacterial small subunit ribosomal RNA", at positions 19 to 518 of the family's 1533-position model. The record is from RNAcentral.
CUGGCUCAGGAUGAACGCUAGCGACAGGCUAACACAUGCAAGUCGAGGGGCAUCACGGGAGUAGCAAUACAACUGGUGGCGACCGGCGCACGGGUGAGUAACGCGUAUGCAACCUACCUAUCAGAGGGGAAUAACCCGGCGAAAGUCGGACUAAUACCGCAUAAAACAGGGGCACCGCAUGGUGAUAUUUGUUAAAGAAAUUCGCUGAUAGAUGGGCAUGCGUUCCAUUAGGUAGUUGGUGAGGUAACGGCUCACCAAGCCGACGAUGGAUAGGGGAACUGAGAGGUUGGUCCCCCACACUGGUACUGAGACACGGACCAGACUCCUACGGGAGGCAGCAGUGAGGAAUAUUGGUCAAUGGGCGGGAGCCUGAACCAGCCAAGUCGCGUGAAAGGAAGAAGGAUCUAUGGUUCGUAAACUUCUUUUGCAGGGGAAUAAAGUGCAGGACGUGUCCUGUUCUGUAUGUACCCUGAGAAUAAGGAUCGGCUAACUCCGUGCCAGCCGCCGC